RNAcentral lists this ribosomal RNA (497 nucleotides) under uncultured bacterium. RNAcentral describes it as "partial 16S ribosomal RNA". The stretch from base 61 to 497 matches the Rfam family "Bacterial small subunit ribosomal RNA", at positions 39 to 507 of the family's 1533-position model. The record is from RNAcentral.
GGGGGGGGGGGGGGGGGGGGGGGGGGGGGGGGGGGGGGGCGGGGGGGGGUGGUGGUGGGAGCGGCGGGGGGAGCCGCGAGCGGGGGGGUCACGCGGGGGGGAGCUGCCUUUGAGCGGGGGACAACAUGGGGAAGCGACUGCUAAGGCCGCAGGAAAACGUUCAAGACAAUGUGUAAGUGUGAAAGAUGCCAUCGCAGCACUCCACGAUGAUCCCGCGUUGUAUUAGCUGGUUGGUGAGGUCAAGGCUCACCAAGGCGAUGCGACAUAGCAGACCUCGGAGGGUGAUCGGCCACAUUGGGACUGAGACACGGCCCAAACUCCGACGGGAGGCAGCAGUAGGGAAUCUUCGGCAAUGGACGAAAGUCUGACCGAGCAACGCCGCGUGAGUGAAGAAGGUUUUCGGAUCGUAAGACUCUGUUGGUAGAGAAGAACGUUGGUGAGAGUGGAAAGCUCAUCAAGUGACGGUAACUACCCAGAAAGGGACGGCUAACUACGUG